Molecule: long non-coding RNA, 3079 nt
Organism: Brassica napus (rape)
Lineage: Eukaryota; Viridiplantae; Streptophyta; Magnoliopsida; Brassicales; Brassicaceae
Exons: 2
Source: RefSeq, a predicted model, not a curated record
AGUAAAGUUUGUAGAUGAUUCUCGUAUAAAUAUAAAAGGAAAAGGCUCGAUUCUCUUCAUAAGCAAGGAUUGCAAAAGAAUGAUAUUGGCCAAUGUAUACUUCAUGCCCGAUCUAAGAAGCAAAUAUCAUAAGUCCCGGACAAGCUACAUAGUCUGGAUACAACAUUAGAAUGAGAGAACAUUAUCUGACUCUGUAUGAUCGAGAUGGCAAUCUGUUGGUGAAAACAAAUAGGUCCAAAAAUUGUCUAUACAAAGUAAUCAUGGAAGUUGAGAAUACUAGGUGCCUACAGCUCAUGAAAUUUGGUGAUUCAGCGAAGUGCCAUGCAAGUCUAGGGCAUGUCGGACGGAUAAAGAAAUAGUCACUAGCAUACCAAAAUGUAUGUUAAAAAGGAAACAUGUGCUUCAUGCUUGCUAGGAAAGCAAACAAGGCAAGUUUUUCCUCAACCAACUUCAUAUUGUGCCACACGUAUACUUGAGCUCAUAUAUGGAGAUUUUGUGGACCAAUUUCACCCCCAACAGUGUCGCAUAACAGGUACAUAUUUGUAUUGAUUGAGGACCAUUCAAACUAUAUGUGGUUCAUCCUAUUGAAAGAAAAGAGUGAAGCCUUCAAUAAAUUUAAGAAGUUCAAGGUCCUUGUUGAGUAAGAAACGGGAGCUACCACCAAAACCUUUCGAACAUACAUGGGUGAUGAGUUUAUAUCUCUCAGGAGUCUCAAGUGUUCUUCGUUGAGAGACAAAACAAAACCCUAAUGGAAAUGACUAGAAGUAUCAUGAAACAUAUGUGCAUACCAAACUAUCUUAUAUUAAAUAUUAUUUUAAAUACAACUAGAUCUCGAUCCGCGCAACUGUGCGGGUUUUUGUUUUCAUUUAAUUUUAUAUAAAUAUUUUGUUUUCAAUUCUAAAUUGGUAUAUAUUAUAAUCACUACAAGAAAACACGCAUGUUGCAAGGAAAAUUUGCGAGGAAAAUUUUUACAUGCAAAUUUGCGACAAGUUUGCAACGAACUUGCAAGAAAAAAUAAAAGCCUCGCAAAUCUCUCGCAAAUUUGCGUGGAAAAAUAUUCUCUCGCAAAUUUGCAAGAGAUUAGCGAGUGUAGUUACAUAGUCCUCGCAAAUUCCUCGCAAAUUUGCGAGUAAACAUUUCUCUCGCAAAUUUGCGACAGAUUUGCAAGAACUUUGUAUGUCUAUCUUGUUUCCUCACAACUCCGUCGUAAAUUUGCAAAGAACAUGCAUGAUAUGUACAUUUUAUCACAUUUCUCUCACAAAUCAAAUAAAGUUAAUAUAAAAAAUAUUUAAUUAAAAUAUUAGUGUUUAACAAGUACAUCGAUAAAUAUUAUUGGAAACUUAAUCAAUUUCAAUCAACUAAAUAUUCACGGAAUAAAUAUUUUGCGACACUUAAACUAAUAUUACAAAGUACUAAACAUCAAACUCUAUAAUUUAUACAAUAAGUUCACGUCAACUAAAUUUCUAUAAAAAAAUUGAAACAAAUUUUCACGUUAAUUAUUUUUUCAAAAAAAAUUACAAAACACAUAUUGGUUCACCGAAAAUAUAACAAAAUCCCAAACAAAACCCUAAACGCAUUGACUCAUGAAUUUGCAAGGGAUUCCUCGCAAUUCCCUUGCAAAUUUGUGAGAGAAUCUAAACGCUCGCAAAUUUGCAAGGGAAUUGCAAUGGAUCCCUCUCAAAUCUCUUGCAAAUUUGCGAGGGAUAUUAUUUCCCUUGCAAAUUUGCAAGGGAUUUGCGAGAGUCUCGUUGCAACUUCCUUGCAAAUCCAUUAUUCCAAACUUGACGGUUUGGGUUUUAUCAAGGAUUUUGGUGACGGAUAACAAAGUUUACUGAAUCAUUUUUAGUGUUUAAAAUGUACGUCGAAAAAUAUUUUCAGAAAUUUAAUUAACUAUUGUUAUGAACUUAAGUCCCAAGACUUGAUUUGUUAUUACAAUUAAUUAACAUCAAACCAUUAUAACUUAUAUAACUUAUAUACAUCAACUAAAUUUUCGAAAAAUAUUGAACAUAUUUUCACGUUAAUUAUUUGUUUAGAACCAAAUUAAUAAAUACAUAUAGUCUACCGAAAACAAAACUCCAAACGAAGCCUUAAAAUACACUAUUUAUAAAUUUGCAAUGGAUUUGCAAGAGAAUACUCGCAAUUCCCUUGCAAAUUUGCGAGGGGUUUGCGACGGACAUACCUAGUAUAUAAACACAUUAACCUAAUGAUAUAGUGACAAAAGGUAAACAUAAAAGAAAAAAUCCUAUUGGCCAAUACACCUUUCACAUAGAUCACCAUUCCAGCCGUUAGAUUGAAUUUCAAUCAAUGGACAAGAAUUUUUCUUUUCUAUUUUCUUAUUUUUCCUUCUCUCUUCAGAUCUACGAAUGAUCUCUUAAUUAUGUUCUCCAUCUUCUACAGCUCUCUCUCUCUCUCUUUAAUCUUCUGUUCUUUUCUCUUCAUGUUUUAAGAUAUCAUCUCCUUCCUCUAUGUUCUCCUCUGUUCUUCAUCAUCUUCCGCUCACUACUUUCUUCAUGGUUACCACUUCUGUCGCUGUCGUGAAGGAAGAACCGCUGCUGUCUCCGUCAUUUAAGAACAAACGCCUCUGUGCUUGAGGAAGCAUCGGCUCGUAGCAGUGGAGGCAACCGACCUUCUUCUUCAGAUUUAGUCCAUCUUCCUCGCCGUCACGUUUUGCUCUCUGUCCAAGACUCACCGGAGAUGAAGAUUCGUACCACUCUAGCUUCUCACCUCUCUAACUCGACGGUGGUGGGAUUUGAGAGAAGCGGAUCUGGAAGGUAGAUGCGACGGCUGGAAGUAGAAGCAUCGAUGGUGGCUAAAGCGUCGAAGGUGAAGCAUCGAUGGUGGCUGAAGCGUUGAGAGUACGGUGGAGAAAGACGACUGGAGGAGGACGACGGCGGCGGCUUAGAUUUAGGGUUUUCUUGUAUUUUGUUUGUAUUUAUGUUUAUAUAUUUACAUAUUUGUUUUAAACAAAAAAAAAACAUAUUUGUUUUUAUUAAUUAUAUCAAAUUGUUUUUUUGUUUAACCGUUGGAAAUGACACAUUUUCCUGUAGUGUACCAGAUUCAAUAUAUAUAUUUAUUUGUA